ACGAACGCUGGCGGCGUGCUUCACACCUGCAAGUCGAACGGAAAGGCCCUGCUUUUGUGGGGUGCUCGAGUGGCGAACGGGUGAGUAACACGUGAGUAACCUGCCCUUGACUUUGGGAUAACUUCAGGAAACUGGGGCUAAUACCGGAUAGGAGCUCCUGCUGCAUGGUGGGGGUUGGAAAGUUUCGGCGGUUGGGGAUGGACUCGCGGCUUAUCAGCUUGUUGGUGGGGUAGUGGCUUACCAAGGCUUUGACGGGUAGCCGGCCUGAGAGGGUGACCGGCCACAUUGGGACUGAGAUACGGCCCAGACUCCUACGGGAGGCAGCAGUGGGGAAUAUUGCACAAUGGGCGGAAGCCUGAUGCAUCAACGCCGCGUGCGGGAUGACGGCCUUCGGGUUGUAAACCGCUUUCGCCUGUGACGAAGCGUGAGUGACGGUAAUGGGUAAAGAAGCACCGGCUAACUACGUG
This 467-nucleotide ribosomal RNA is filed under the name uncultured bacterium. RNAcentral's name for it is "partial 16S ribosomal RNA". It matches the Rfam family "Bacterial small subunit ribosomal RNA", at positions 29 to 507 of the family's 1533-position model. The record is from RNAcentral.